Molecule: ribosomal RNA, 466 nt
Filed under: Nocardia cyriacigeorgica
Lineage: Bacteria; Bacillati; Actinomycetota; Actinomycetes; Mycobacteriales; Nocardiaceae
Description: bacterial SSU rRNA
Rfam family: Bacterial small subunit ribosomal RNA
Source: RNAcentral
ACGCUGGCGGCGUGCUUAACACAUGCAAGUCGAGCGGUAAGGCCCUUCGGGGUACACGAGCGGCGAACGGGUGAGUAACACGUGGGUGAUCUGCCUCGCACUCUGGGAUAAGCCUGGGAAACUGGGUCUAAUACCGGAUAUGACCUUACAUCGCAUGGUGUUUGGUGGAAAGAUUUAUCGGUGCGAGAUGGGCCCGCGGCCUAUCAGCUUGUUGGUGGGGUAAUGGCCUACCAAGGCGACGACGGGUAGCCGGCCUGAGAGGGCGACCGGCCACACUGGGACUGAGACACGGCCCAGACUCCUACGGGAGGCAGCAGUGGGGAAUAUUGCACAAUGGGCGAAAGCCUGAUGCAGCGACGCCGCGUGAGGGAUGACGGCCUUCGGGUUGUAAACCUCUUUCGACAGGGACGAAGCGCAAGUGACGGUACCUGUAGAAGAAGCACCGGCCAACUACGUGCCAGCAGCC